RNAcentral lists this ribosomal RNA (580 nucleotides) under Mecistogaster linearis. RNAcentral describes it as "partial 12S ribosomal RNA". The record is from RNAcentral. Lineage: Eukaryota; Metazoa; Arthropoda; Insecta; Odonata; Coenagrionidae.
GGGUUAGGAAUUAUUAUUGGUUAAUAGUAUUUAAUAUUAAUUUAUUUUUUUUGUUGUUUUGAGGUGAAAUUUUAUUUUAUUUAUAAUAUAUUUAAUUUUAUUCUAUGAAAUUUAUUUUAUAAACAAGGAUUAGAUACCCUUUUAUAAUAAAUAUUAAUUUUGUUCCGGGUUAGUAUUAGUUAGUUCUUGAAAUCCAAAUAAUUUGGCGGUAUUUUAUUCUUUUCAGAGGAACCUGUUCUUUAAUUGAUAAUCCACGAUUUUAUUUACUUGGUCUUGUUUAUACAGUUUUUAUAUUUCCGUCAUAAGAAUAUUUUUAUAGAAUGAAUUUUCUUGAUUAUUUGAAAGUAAGAAUGUCAGGUCAAGAUGAAAUUAAUGAUUAAGUGGUAAUGGGUUMCAAUAAAUUUAUUUAUAUGAAUAUAUAAUUUUAUAAUUAUUUUGAAGGUGGAUUUGAGAGUAAAUAAAUUUAUUAAAUUUAUUGGUUUUUAGCUCUAAAAUAUGCACACAUCGCCCGUCGCUCUCAUAAUAAAGUGAGAUAAGUCGUAACAUAGUAGGCGUAUCGGAAGAUGUGCCUAGAAAGUAA